RNAcentral lists this ribosomal RNA (821 nucleotides) under Penicillium rubens Wisconsin 54-1255. RNAcentral's name for it is "SSU rRNA". It matches the Rfam family "Eukaryotic small subunit ribosomal RNA", at positions 1 to 833 of the family's 1831-position model. The record is from RNAcentral. Lineage: Eukaryota; Fungi; Ascomycota; Eurotiomycetes; Eurotiales; Aspergillaceae.
ACCUGGUUGAUUCUGCCAGUAGUCAUAUGCUUGUCUCAAAGAUUAAGCCAUGCAUGUCUAAGUAUAAGCAACUUGUACUGUGAAACUGCGAAUGGCUCAUUAAAUCAGUUAUCGUUUAUUUGAUAGUACCUUACUACAUGGAUACCUGUGGUAAUUCUAGAGCUAAUACAUGCUAAAAACCCCGACUUCAGGAAGGGGUGUAUUUAUUAGAUAAAAAACCAACGCCCUUCGGGGCUCCUUGGUGAAUCAUAAUAACUUAACGAAUCGCAUGGCCUUGCGCCGGCGAUGGUUCAUUCAAAUUUCUGCCCUAUCAACUUUCGAUGGUAGGAUAGUGGCCUACCAUGGUGGCAACGGGUAACGGGGAAUUAGGGUUCGAUUCCGGAGAGGGAGCCUGAGAAACGGCUACCACAUCCAAGGAAGGCAGCAGGCGCGCAAAUUACCCAAUCCCGAUACGGGGAGGUAGUGACAAUAAAUACUGAUACGGGGCUCUUUUGGGUCUCGUAAUUGGAAUGAGAACAAUUUAAAUCCCUUAACGAGGAACAAUUGGAGGGCAAGUCUGGUGCCAGCAGCCGCGGUAAUUCCAGCUCCAAUAGCGUAUAUUAAAGUUGUUGCAGUUAAAAAGCUCGUAGUUGAACCUUGGGUCUGGCUGGCCGGUCCGCCUCACCGCGAGUACUGGUCCGGCUGGACCUUUCCUUCUGGGGAACCUCAUGGCCUUCACUGGCUGUGGGGGGAACCAGGACUUUUACUGUGAAAAAAUUAGAGUGUUCAAAGCAGGCCUUUGCUCGAAUACAUUAGCAUGGAAUAAUAGAAUAGGACGUGUG